AAAAGUUAAAUUUGUAUGGAGUUGGCAGAGCUUCCCUUCGCUGCCGCUGGGGGCGCUGUUUCAACUCCAUACUAAUUUGAGUUA
This 84-nucleotide microRNA precursor is filed under the name Bombyx mori (domestic silkworm). RNAcentral describes it as "mir-2807 microRNA precursor family". It matches the Rfam family "mir-2807 microRNA precursor family". Lineage: Eukaryota; Metazoa; Arthropoda; Insecta; Lepidoptera; Bombycidae. The record is from Rfam by way of RNAcentral.